RNAcentral lists this unclassified non-coding RNA (223 nucleotides) under Hevea brasiliensis (rubber tree). The record is from RNAcentral. Lineage: Eukaryota; Viridiplantae; Streptophyta; Magnoliopsida; Malpighiales; Euphorbiaceae.
GUCGAUUGAGAUGGUUUGAUCAUGUCCAACGAAGAGAAUCAAAUUCUUUAGUACGGAACUGUGAUAAGUUAGUAGGGAAUGAUGGAGAAAGGGGAGAGGGAGACCUAAGAUGAUGUGUAGAGAAGUAGUAUCAAAUGAUUUGUAAGCUUUGGAUAUUGAUGUGGACUUGGUUUCCAAUAGAGCUGAAUGGCUGGAAAAGGGUUAUAUAGUCGACCUUAAGUAA